Long non-coding RNA from Cervus elaphus (red deer), 227 nucleotides. RefSeq lists it as uncharacterized. NCBI's taxonomy places the organism in Eukaryota, Metazoa, Chordata, Mammalia, Artiodactyla, Cervidae. The transcript has 4 exons. The record is from RefSeq and is a predicted model, not a curated record.
CGAGUUUAUACACCCUUUCUGUGUUUCCUGUCUAUAGAAGAUCCUUUUGCAUUUGUUUAAGAGCUGGUUUGGUGGUGCUGAAUUCUCUCAGCUUUGCUUGUCUGUAAAACUUUUGAUUUCUCCUUCAUAUUUGAAUGAGACCCUUGCUGGUUACAGUAAUCUGGGUUUUAAGUUUCUCGCUUUCAUCACUUUAAGUAUGUCUUGGCAUUCCCUUCUGGCCUGGAAGU